RNAcentral lists this ribosomal RNA (701 nucleotides) under uncultured bacterium. RNAcentral describes it as "bacterial SSU rRNA". It matches the Rfam family "Bacterial small subunit ribosomal RNA", at positions 112 to 829 of the family's 1533-position model. The record is from RNAcentral.
AACGCGUGAGGAACCUGCCUUGAAGAGGGGGACAACAGUUGGAAACGACUGCUAAUACCGCAUGAAGCAUAGGGGUCGCAUGAUUCUUAUGCCAAAGAUUUAUCGCUUCAAGAUGGCCUCGCGUCUGAUUAGCUAGUUGGCGGGGUAACGGCCCACCAAGGCGACGAUCAGUAGCCGGACUGAGAGGUUGAACGGCCACAUUGGGACUGAGAUACGGCCCAGACUCCUACGGGAGGCAGCAGUGGGGAAUAUUGGGCAAUGGGCGCAAGCCUGACCCAGCAACGCCGCGUGAAGGAAGAAGGCUUUCGGGUUGUAAACUUCUUUUAAGAGGGAAGAGCAGAAGACGGUACCUCUAGAAUAAGCCACGGCUAACUACGUGCCAGCAGCCGCGGUAAUACGUAGGUGGCAAGCGUUGUCCGGACUUACUGGGUGUAAAGGGCGUGCAGCCGGGUCUGCAAGUCAGAUGUGAAAUCCAUGGGCCCAACCCAUGAACUGCAUUUGAAACUGUAGACCUUGAGUGUCGGAGGGGCAAUCGGAAUUCCUAGUGUAGCGGUGAAAUGCGUAGAUAUUAGGAGGAACACCAGUGGCGAAGGCGGAUUGCUGGACGAUAACUGACGGUGAGGCGCGAAAGUGUGGGGAGCAAACAGGAUUAGAUACCCUGGUAGUCCACACUGUAAACGAUGAAUACUAGGUGUGCGGGG